GAUGAACGCUGGCGGCGUGCUUAACACAUGCAAGUCGAACGGAAAGGCCCUGCUUUUGUGGGGUGCUCGAGUGGCGAACGGGUGAGUAACACGUGAGUAACCUGCCCUUGACUUUGGGAUAACUUCAGGAAACUGGGGCUAAUACCGGAUAGGAGCUCCUGCUGCAUGGUGGGGGUUGGAAAGUUUCGGCGGUUGGGGAUGGACUGGCGGCUUAUCAGCUUGUUGGUGGGGUAGUGGCUUACCAAGGCUUUGACGGGUAGCCGGCCUGAGAGGGUGGCCGGCCACAUUGGUACUGAGAUACGGACCAGUCGCGUACGGGAGGCAACAGUGGGAAGUAUGACACAGUGGGCGGAAGCCUGAUGCGACGACGCCGCGUGCGGAAUGACGGCUUUCUGGUUGUAAACCGCUUUCGCCUGAGACGAAGCGUGAGUGACGGUAAUGGAUAAAGAAGCACCGGCUAACUACGUG
This 468-nucleotide ribosomal RNA is filed under the name uncultured bacterium. Its description in RNAcentral is "partial 16S ribosomal RNA". It matches the Rfam family "Bacterial small subunit ribosomal RNA", at positions 28 to 507 of the family's 1533-position model. The record is from RNAcentral.